AAACUAGAACCUUGGUGUUGUUAUAUAGUUUUCCAGCCCCAAAGCUUACAAAUUUGUUUUAAAUCUAAGCCCAUAAAUCAAAUCUAGAUAAGAUAAGAUCUAGAUGACAUCAAAUAUAAAUAAUAUCUAGAUAAGAUAAAAUCUUGUAGAAUAAAAUAGUCUGCCUUCUUCAAGUCCAAGCCCAAUUAUGGAUUCAAGCCCAAUGCUUCAUUAAUUCCUGAAAUUAGAUUAAAAACAUCAAAUUAGCUGAAUGGGCCCAGAUAAUAAAACUGCCUAAUUAAUUUGACAAUUAAGAUUAAUCAGUACUUAAAAUGGUGCAAAAAGGGUUAAGAAAUAGGAGAAAAUAAUGACACAUCAAAAUCCCCCAUACUUAGCCUUUUGCACUCCUGGGAAAAAUGAAAUAAAGAACAAAAUCCAAGGAUAUCAAAGAGAGACAAACAAAAACAUUUACAUAUUUCUCAAUGAACAUCAAGGAAUGAAAGGAAUGGGUAACAUCUAACAUGAAGAGAUCCAAAGAGUCAAGACAUUCGUGAAAAUCAUCCAAGCAACCCAAUCAUGGCAAAAUAGUUAAUAAGCUCAAGAAUGAAAAGUGAUAAAGCCUCACAAGAUAUACUCUCUAUCUCUCAAGUGUCUAGGCUACUGUUUACUCUCGAAGCACCCAUGAAAACAAACACCACAUAGACUUGGCAAAAUUCUAAAAUAGACAAACAACUUGACAAACACAUGCAUAUGAUGAUCAAAAUGUCUUUAAAGGUUGUAAUGGGGACAAGGACAAGGUUGGGAAAAAAAUAUGGAAUAAUUAGCUAAAUCCCAAAGGAAUAGAGGAGCAAUGGGGAAUAAGUGGCAAUUAAGCACAAGUAGUAAACCCAAACCCUCUAAUAUCAACAAAAUCAACCAAGGCUCCCAAAUCAAGUCCUCAUAACAAGACCUCAUUUAUUCAACUUCACUUCUUUUCUUCUUUUUUUUUCAUUUUUUUCAUCAUUUUUUUUAACAGUACGAAUUUGAAGAUUAAAGCAAGAACUAGACAAUAUAUACAUCAAGCAUGGCCUAAAUAAAACAUUAAGCAUGGAAAAAAAUUAUAUCUUCCAAUGAAACAUACCCCCCCACACUUAUUCCCAGCUUAUUCCCAAAACAAUUCCAAAGCUCCAAAAUUCCUUAAGGGUAAGGUGAUAUCAUGGUUUUUCACUUAAGGCUUGUAAUGAGCUUCAAAACAAAGAAGGGGAACAUAGGCUCAAAGGGGCUAUCAAAGGAAUUAAUUCAAGGUAAGUCCAUUUGGCUAGAAGCUUAUAAGAACAAAAUUGCCUAAAUCAUUUCCAAAUAUGUAUGUGAAUUAGGAAGCAUCAACAAGAAUCAAGCCAAGGCUAUUGUGCAAGCAAUCAAUGGGGCAAAACACACCAAAAGAUUAUGAUGAUGGAUGACUCAAAUUCUCACAAAGGUAAACUUAUCACUUUUAAAUUGAGCUUUCAAAAUUAUCAUGACAUGUAGAGGAAAAACAAGGAUUCCAAAUCACAAAAUGUCAAGAGACUUUUAUUUUUCAGAACAAUUACCCAUUUCUUGAACAUAUCCUAUAAUUUAAAGAAAAAUAUGCAAAGUUGUACAUGCAAACAGAAUUGACCUAAAAUAUUAAACUAGAAACCCAACAAAACUAACAAAUUUAACACAAACAAAACUAACAAAACUAGCAAAACCAAAACCAAAGAACACUCCCCCCUAUACUUAAACAACACAUUAUCCUCAAUGUAGCACAAUUAAAAGAUUAAAAGCAAUUAAACCAUCAAAUAGAAUCAGACAAAUGUAAUAAAAGUAAAGAAGGAGAUAGGAAAAGAAAAACUCCCUAAGUCAUGGUGGAGGAAGAGUAGGGUGGAGUAAGGAAGUCUCUUCCACCACUACGUCCACUAAAGAAAGGUUUGUGAGGAAUGGCUUAAGUCGGUGUCCAUUGACCUUGAAGCUCUUCUUUGUGGAGUCACUUUUGAUCUCAACUGUACCAUAAGGAAAAACAUUAGUAACAACAAAAGGGCCAAUCCACUUAGACCUCAACUUACCACUCAUGAGUCCGAGCUUAGAAUUAUACAAUAACACUUUUUGCCCAACCAUGAAGUCCUUCUUAAUUAUCAUGCUAUCAUGGAACAUCUUGGUCUUUUCUUUGUAGAACUUGGCAUUCUCAUACGCUUCUAGGCGGAUCUCAUCUAACUCACUCAGUUGCAACUCUCUUUCCUCACCAGCUUGAUCCAUAGAGAAGUUGCAGGUCUUCACUGCCCAGUAUGCUUUGUUCUCAAUCUCAACUAGAAGAUGACAUGCCUUUCCAAAGACAACCCGAUAAGGAGACAUUCCUAUGGGUGCUUUGUAGGCAGUCCUAUGUGCCCAAAGAGCAUCAUCUAGCUUGGUACACCAAUAUUUCCUGUUUGGCUGCACAAUCUUCUCUAAAAUUCUCGUGAUCUCCCUGUUAGAAAUUUCUGCUUGUCCAUUGGUUUGGGGGUGGUAUGGUGUGGAUACCCUGUGGACAACCCCGUACUUUUUAAGCAAGGCAUGCAUUGAUUUGUUGCAAAAAUGGGUUCCUUGAUCACUAACGAUUGCUUUUGGUACUCCAAACCUGCAAAACAGAUUAGAUCUGACAAAAUCUACAACAACCUUAGCAUCAUUAGUUCUAGUGGGCUUGGCUUCCACCCAUUUUGAAACACAAUCAACUGCAAGGAGAAUGUAAACAUAACCAAAAGAUACAGGAAAAGGGCCCAUGAAAUAUAUACCCCAGACAUCAAACACCUCACAAAAUAGCAUAGGUUGCUGAGGCAUUUGUUGUCGCCAUGUAACUGCACUUCCUGCUCUCUGACAUUGCUCACAAGUGCUACAAAUCUUCCACACAUCUUUAAAGAUGGUGGGCCAAUAAAAGCCACAAUCAAGCACUUUGCGAGCUGUCCUUUGAACACCCAGAUGACCUCCCGGUGCGGAAGAAUGACAGAACUGCAGGACUGAGUCAAUCUCAUGAUCUGGAAUGCAUUGUCUAAUGACCUAAUCACUGCACAAUUUCCACAAGUAGGGGUCAUCCCAAAUAAAAUGCUUAGCAUCACUUUUAACUUUAUCUUUUUGAGCCUUAGAUGCUAAGGGAGGAAAAAUAGAAGCAACUAAAUAAUUGACAAUGUUAGCAAACGAGGGAGUAGAAAGAGAAUCAGAAAUACUAUACAAUAUAUAUAAAUGAUCAUCUGGAAAUCAUCCCGAAUGGAUGAGUCCUCAUCAGACACAUGUUCGAUCCGACUCAAAUGAUCAACAACUAAAUUUUGUGCUCCGCUCCUAUCACGGAUCUCCAAGUCAAAUUGUUGGAGCCAAAGCAUCCAUCGGAUCAACCUAGGCUUUGAAUCAGCCUUCUUCAACAAGUACUUUAAAGCUUCAUGGUCAGUAUAAACAAUAAUGCGAGUACCAAGCAAAUAAGAACGAAAUUUUUCAAGAGCAAAAACUAUGGCUAGUAGCUCUUUCUCAGUAGUAGUAUAAUUCGCUUGGGCAGCAUCUAAAGUCCUAGAAGCAUAAUAUAUCACCCUAGGCAAUUUAUCAAUUUUCUAAGCAAGGACAGCCCCCAAUGCAUAUUUUGAUGCAUCACACAUAAGCUCAGAAGGGGCUGUCCAGUCGGGUGCGUGGAUGAUGGGGGUGGUAGUCAGUGCUCUUUUGAGGCAAUCAAAAGCCUCUUUGCAUUUAUCAUUAAAGUCAAACUCCACCUCCUUUUGCAACAAGUUGGAUAGUGGAAGGGCUACUUUGCUAAAAUCUCUUAUAAAGCGCAUGUAGAAUCCUGCAUGACCAAGAAAAGAUCGCACCUCUCGCAUGCAAGAGGGGUAAGGCAAUUGUGAAAUAAUAUAAAUUUUUGCAGGAUCUACUUCAAUGCCUUUAUUGGAAAUAAUGUGGCCUAAAACAGGGUGGAGGUUGUGCCAUGUUCUCAAAAUGUUCAAAAUCAGAAUGUUCAAAACAAUAAUGCUCAAAAUCACCAAUAACAAAAUGCUCAGGAUGCUCAAAAGGUACUAAAUGAUGUCUAACUAAUCUAUGAAAUGUCCUAUCUAUCUCAGGAUCAAAGGGUUGUAAGUCAGAUCGAUUGCCUCUAGUCAUACACUAUAUUCAGCAUGCACAACUAGUUGCCUUCUUAUGCAAGUAACAAUGUAGGUUUGAACUACAGCUACCAUUAAAUGAUAUCCAAAUGACUUGAAAUUUUGUGAGCAACCUUACAAAAUGAUGAGAAUAUAGCACAAAAAGUUUCAAACAAAAAUUCAAAGUCUAACUAAGCGAAAUUUAACAUAAGGCAUUCAUUAUAUGAUUAAGCAACACAUACACCAAUUACUCAUAAACGAUCAUUAAGCAUGGACGUAAAUUAAGUGCAGAGACAAUUAAUCAAGAACUAAGCAUGCAUGAAUUAAUAACUACAAAUUCAGAGUAAUUAGUGAAGAGGAAAAACUGAACAGAAUUUAACAGUAAUAAUAGAACCUCAAAGAGAACUGUGCUUGAUCCUCAAGAGAAAACAACGCUGGGGACUUAGCCUUCCAUUAAUCAAUAGAGAACGAAAUUAUAGAUUGAAGAACGAAAUUUUAUUGCUAAAACGAAAAGUCAGAACUGGAAUUGCAAAAACAAAAAAAAAAGGAGAAAGAGAAGAGAGAGGAGAGCCUAAACUAGAACCUUGGUGUUGUUAUAUAGUUUUCCAACCCCAAAGCUUACAAAUCUAUUUUAAAUCCAGGCCCAUAAAUAAAAUAAAAUCAAAUCUAGAUAAGAUAAGAUAAGAUCUAGAUGAAAUAAUAUCUAGAUGACAUCAAAUCUAAAUAAUAUCUAGAUAAGAUAAAGUCUAGAUAAGAUAAAAUCUUGUAGAAUAAAAUAGUCUGCCCUCUUCAAGUCCAAGCCCAAUUCUGGAUUCAAGCCCAAUGUUUCAUUAAUUCCUGAAAUUAGAUUAAAAACAUCAAAUUAGCUAAAUGGGCCCAAAUAAUAAAACUGCCUAAUUAAUUUGACAAUUAAGAUUAAUCAGUACUUAAAAUGGUGCAAACAAGGUUAAGAAAUAGGAGAAAAUAAUGGCACAUCAUGUUGUGUGCAUCAAAUGAAUAAAUAUAUAUCUCAUGCAUACAUUUCAAAAACACACUAAAAGCAUCAUAGAGAUAUAUACAAGAACAUAAGAGAAAUAAAAGGAAACCGACAAAAGAGGAAGUCAUGAUAUUGCAACGAGAUUAGAAGGUCUAACCUCUAAAAAUAGUCCCAAGUGGAGUCGCCAACUGUCGCAAAAGGUGUGGUCUACGAACUUUAAGUGUGAAAGGUUCGAGAGUUGUUUUUACGAACGGGGAAGAUAUUAGCACCCCACGCGUCCGUCACAAGGGAUGGUAGCCUCUAAUCAAGUGUGCAAAUAUGACUUCAAAAUGUUUUAUUUUCCCUUUUUUUAUGUCUUUUUGUAUUUUUAUGCUUUUUAUGUUUUUUGUAUUUUCUUAUCUUUUUGUGGUCGACAAGGGUGUUUCCCUCGCUCCUACGUAUCCUCAAUUGUGAUGAGGAAAUCAGACCUACGUAGUUCUUUGAGAACUAAACGUUGGUUAAGUUGUUUUUAUCUUUUUUCGCAAGAUAUAUUUAAACUGAACAAAAGUCGUUUAAGGCGUUGGAUCAUUAAACGAUUUUUUGAUUUUGAAAGGAGAGAAACGUUAAGGCGUUGGACCAUUAACGAUCUCUUGGUUUUGAAAGGAGAGAAACGUUAAGGCGUUGGACCAUUAACGAUCUCUUGGGGUGGUCGACAAAAGCGGGGCUUUUGCUCCUACGUAUCCUCAAUUGCGAUGAGGAAAUCAGACCUACGUAGUUCUUGCAAAAGCGAUAAAGUUACAUAUUGAUUUUAUGCUUUUGAACGGUCCAUGUUAACCGAUAAAAGCAAAGAGGACCAUUUAAGGUGUUGGACCUUAAAACAGUUUUUAGUGAUUUUUGCGGACAAAGCUUGAUUUGUGA
RNAcentral lists this long non-coding RNA (5937 nucleotides) under Glycine max (soybean). RNAcentral describes it as "long non-coding RNA (GMAX_LNC004339)". The record is from RNAcentral. Lineage: Eukaryota; Viridiplantae; Streptophyta; Magnoliopsida; Fabales; Fabaceae.